Triticum aestivum (bread wheat) is the source of this 3876-nucleotide long non-coding RNA. RefSeq lists it as uncharacterized. The transcript is spliced from 3 exons. Lineage: Eukaryota; Viridiplantae; Streptophyta; Magnoliopsida; Poales; Poaceae. The record is from RefSeq and is a predicted model, not a curated record.
AGCGACCCGCAUGAUCCUGCCUUCCCCAAUCCCAUCUCUUCCACCUACAGAGCGCCGCCACCUCCUGCCACGCCCCACCCCGCCUCACCGUGCACCGCCAGCCGCCGCUGCGCGCCCCUCCAGCAUGCCUACCCCUACCCCAAGUGCCCCCACACCCGCGAGCUUCCACCGCCGGUGACCCGACCCAAUUCGCUCGGGUGUUGGUGGCACUGACAACACAAGCAGCUUCCAUGAAGCUGCGCGGCCACCCCUAGCCCCCUUCACCUCCUUCCUCCCACUUGCACACAUGAGAAGGAAUUGGAUCAGAGUCGGUCCCUCAAUCUAAACCAAGAGGAGUGCCCAUUGAACAUGAUGGUGUGCAGAUCGCGGAGAGUUGCAUCGGCAAGCGUCGACUCAUAUCUUGAAGUGCCAUGGAGGAAAGCUUGUGAGGAUGCAGGGGCCGUUGGUGGUGUUGGACUUAUCGUAGGUUGAACCACAUCUUGCUUUUCUUUUGUCAAUCUGCUCUCUUGUCUCUCUGAGUCAUAAAUUGGCCGUCCGUGCAUCUGUUCUUCUUAAUAGAUAUAUAACAUUGAUUUGAUUGGUAAGACUGAUGGUAGAUUGCUACAAUUUAUUGAAUUGAUCUAAUUUAUUUUGGGAUUGUUAACUUUGUGAGUUUUUUUACAUACAAUCUAUGGGUACCUCAUGGAGAACAGUCGGAGCAAACUAUUCUCAUCAGGUGAGCUUAUAAGUUAAGAAACCCAUUAUCUAAAUGUCAUUUGUAAACACGCCGCUCCUUAAGCUAUUCCUAAACCAAUUUUAUAUCGACAGCUUCAGUAAUGUGUCUGAUUCCAUUUGGCCUAUAUGGCAGGGUUAACAUCAUCAAUGGCUUUCCCCAGUCGUCAGUUAUGGCUGAUGCCUUUCCUUGAUUUUCUUUGUUGCCGUUCCGCCAUAAUCUCCUGUUCAACGAAGUUCCUUGCCAAACUGGCAUGUCCUUACCAUUGUAGGUUAGAGAACUGACUUCUCAUAAACUUUUUUCGUACCCCUUUUCAGCCAGAUAGUUAUAUUGUGAAACACUUGACAAAGAAGCUCUCUGUCAACUAUUAAAGCAUUGACAAUUUCUGUCCUAAAGCUGAAUGUUUUUGUGGGCAAUUGGUUCAUAAAAUCAAUGGCAAGUGAGAACUACUAAAGCAUUGAGUGUCUCUUUGCCUCCCUCACGGGCUACACACGCUGCGACCUGCUCGGAGGCAACAUGUUGGUCUUCCAAGGAGCCGCUGCCGAGCACACCGGUGUUUCCGGGUUGUACCAGGCCCUGUUAUAAUCUGAGUGAUGUUGGCACAGCCUGACCUUGCUGAUGCGACCCGAGGAGUUUUUUCUAGCAAUCACGCACAUCUGAAGACUUACUGGACUACUUUCCGAACUGACCGGACGCGACAAGAUAGGCAAGUACAAAAGAGCUAGCUGAUUGAUUCACCAUACAAUUAUACUAUUAUUUGAAGGCACAAUUAGCUACUGGUGAAAGUGUUGAUGUAUUGGUAUUGGCAGGUUUGCCAGUACUUGAAAUGCCAUUUUAAGUAGCGGUAUUAGAGAUACGAAGUUCUAACUCUGUUCUUGUGGUAAUCUAAAAAUAAUUUGGUGAUUUCAAGUAGUUCUGAGAGUAUAAGUCUUAUUCCUCUUUUUUAAUAAUGUAAGAGCAUAGAUCUCAUCGACCAGGAAAUAAUCCAUCAGGUAAGCAAAACACUGAAUAAUCACCAUCUGUACGAAAUAGUACAUGCACAUAUUAUUUCCAAGAUGAAAAAAGUUGGUUUGUUUACUAUAAUUAAGGAACUACCUUAUGGCCUUUGUGUAUUCCAGGAACUACCAAGGUUCCAUAUCUUCCUGUUUGAUCCAAAAUGCAUAUACACAUGAUUAUGAUGGAGAUACUAUCUGAACUUGCCAUCAGCAGGAUUGAGCAAUGUGGCACAUAAGCUUUAGCUUGCUGGUUCAGAUUAUCAGUGUUAAUCUUCUGGUCGUUGCAAUUUUUUAGACUUUUUGAGGUAGCUAAACUAAUCCAGUGUUAAGCUAUUUAGGAUUUUUUUGGAAAGGUCACCGAAAGGAUACCUUAACUUUGUUUUAUCCCCUAGAUCAAUUUUUUUUUCUGGAAAGGUUACUAAAAGGGUACCUUAACUUUCUUUCAUCCCCUAGAUCGGUUUAAGUAUGCUAAGCUCACGUUUAUUUAGAUGUAUAGCUUUGCAUGACAGACUUGUUUUAACAGAUUAUUGGGGCAUUAUGCAAUGUAUAUUCUGCAUUUAUGCUCAUCAUUAUUCUCACGUAUAUUGGCACUUGCCUUUGGGGAUAACCAGGCGCCUAUGCUUUAAGCGAACAGGAACAACGCAAGUGCUCCCUACCCCUCCUCUCAAAUUCUGCCCAAGAGCAUCCUACUUUCUCCCUGUUUGCUUAAAGUUCUUAUUUUUACUGCUUGAGGUUCAUAAAGGAAAUUUCCACGUUCAACAUUACUGUCGACGUUUAUUGAAAUUGGAUAUAAAAAAUGGUGUAAAAUGGCACAUGAAGCAGGCUGUGCCCCUUUUGUUGCCCGGUGCAACGCACGGGCAUUUGUACUAGUACCAAAAAAAUAGUUGUACUUACUAACCUAAUGGUUGAAGAACCACCCAAAUCUAUCGUAUUGAUGAAGUUUUCUACUUGGAUCAUCUUUGAUACUUUUGUGCUCGUGCUGAAAACCUAACUAGCUUAAUUGAGGGAAAAUCAUUAGAUGAGCAUGCUUAUUUUGUGCAAUACCGCUUGUCUCAAAAUGGGAAACUCUUAUGGGGUCAAAUUAAUUGUUUGCAAUGCUAUGAUUGGAAUUUAUGCGAAAUCUAUGAUUUUACUUGUUGUUCUAAAGACCCUAAAAGACACCUUCCCUACCAAUGUGAGUUUAAGGAUAAUGGAAUCUUAUCUUCUUAUGCCAAAGGUGUUUACAGUUAUUAUGAUAUUGAAAAAAUUAAAGAAUUUGUUUCUUUUAAGGGUGCCUAUUAAAUUGCUUCUUUGAUUGAAAGUAUGAUACUACUCUAUACAAAUAUUAUUUUUUUGCCAUGCUUAAAUAUUGCUAUGAAAACUAUGCUUCUAAUGCUUAUAUAUAUUAAAGAAUAUAUUGAGGACGCCUCUGCUGUUGAAGAAGAGACUAAUAUUUUGCAGGAGUCUAUGGAAGAAGAAAUAGAUGAAACUGUGAGCUCAUUACAUGAAAAAGAUGAGGAGGAAAGUGAAGAACAAUUGGAGCAAGAGCGGAUUAGCUACAUAUUUACAUGAGGAGGGAGAAUGCCGGCAGCUGGAAUUCUGGACCUGAAAAAGCUAUGUCAAAGAUACCUAUUAUGCACAUUUCUAAAUGAGAUGAAAUUUCACGGAGAUUUAUUUUGAAAUAAAUAAAAAAUAUUGGAGAAUAGAAGUACUAGAGGGGGCCACCCAGGUGCCCACGAAGCACCAGGGUGCUCCCAACCCCUAGGGCGUGCCCAGGUGGCUUUGUGGGGCCCCUAGCCAGCCUCCGGUGCCCAUCUUCUGGUAUAUAAGCCCAUUGCCCUAGAAAAAAUAAGGAGAGGACUUUCGGGACGGAGCGCCACCAUCUCGAGGUGGUACUUGGGCAGGAGCACUUUUGCUCUUCGGCAAAGCGAUUCUGCCGGGAAUACUUCCCUCCGGGAGGGGGGAAAUCGAAGCCAUCAUCAUCACCAACAACCAUCUCAUCGUGGGAGGGGCAAACUUCAUCAACAUCUUCACCAGCACCAUAUCAUCUCAAACCCUAGUUCAUCUCUUGUAUCCAAUCUUUGUAUCAAAACCUCAUAUUGGUACCUGUUGGUUGCUAGUAGUGUUGAUUACAUUUUCUAGUUGACGCUAGUUGGUUUAUUUGGUGGAAGAUUAUAUGUUCAGAUCCAU